AGAAAACCCAAAAAAAGUGAAGAUUACGGCCAAAAGUGCUCAACAAAAGCGUUCCCGGAAGGCGGGGGCGGAGCCCCAAGAACGUCAGAAAAAACAGCAAAGUGCGGCCAAAACGGUGAACGAUUCUGCGCUUAAACUGAAGCUGGACGAAAAGCUUCAGAAAUCCGGAAUAAGCCUGAGCCUUUCCCUAGAUGACAAUUGAAAUUCACCAAAAUUCAUUAAUCUGUCGAUUGACUCGUUUUUCAAAGUAUUUGGUUAUCCC
Culex pipiens pallens (northern house mosquito) is the source of this 262-nucleotide long non-coding RNA. RefSeq lists it as uncharacterized. NCBI's taxonomy places the organism in Eukaryota, Metazoa, Arthropoda, Insecta, Diptera, Culicidae. The record is from RefSeq and is a predicted model, not a curated record. The transcript is spliced from 3 exons.